Clupea harengus (Atlantic herring) is the source of this 1659-nucleotide long non-coding RNA. RefSeq lists it as uncharacterized. The transcript has 4 exons. Lineage: Eukaryota; Metazoa; Chordata; Actinopteri; Clupeiformes; Clupeidae. The record is from RefSeq and is a predicted model, not a curated record.
CAGUGUGUUUGGGCUUAACACGGAUUCUGGCUGGAAUGACGAUACAAAUCUGUGAUGAGAAAGAGAGGGAGUGGGGCAAAGCGAGAGAUAGAGAGAGAGGGAGAGACAGAGACAGGGAGAUAGAUAGGGAGAGAGAGAGAGAGAGGGCGAGAGAACGAACUGAAAAGUGCCUGUGCGCACUCUGUGGACAGACAUUUUUGGAGACACCUCAUUUUUUUUUCUUUUAUAUAUGACCUUCCAGGUUAUUUUUAUAAUGAUAUUUGAAGAAACUGGGAUUUUGCUGCUCACAGACACUGACAUUCUACCCCCCGUCAGAAGAUGGUUAAAUAAACGCGCACGGUGCGCAAUGUCUAUUGCUCCAGGGAAUCAAGUCAAAAGAUGGUUCCUCUGCAGGUGCUUUGGCCUCCAGCCGGCCAGAUCUCUGCUGUGUGCUCUCCAUACCUCAACAAAAGCAACGCAAAGCAGUCUUCUACUACCACGAGAGUGUGUGGACUGUGUUGGAUGAACAGUCACAUUCAUAACAGAUCCACCCAGAACACGCAUCGGACUUCAUGGCAGAAACAAAAAAUCACUGCUGACGCCAAGGGAGACCAUCAAGGAUGUUGGUACACCUCACCUUAACAAGGUAAUGUAUAGUUUGUCUGAGAAAGACAUCUAAUCCAGACAAUGAAAGAGAAAGAGCCCACAGUAGGUGCCGUCCCAAACCCACUUCACCACGGGCUUAGACACAAGACUGGGCUCGGGGGUAGACAAAGCAGCAGCCCAGUGUAGAGGAAAUAACAGGCUGAGUGAUGCUAACUAAAUCCAGCCCUCAAUCCAUAUCUGAGUUCUCACACCUCUGACCAAAAGGCACUCUCUGUGUAUGACCUCACAAGGCAGUCUGUACAUAUGAUGCAGAGCCGAAAUGCUGCAGUGCCAUUGGUCCAGUGAAGAACAUAGAGGAUAAACAUGUUUCCUAGUCUUGUAAGAGGACUCGUCUUGGUUCAACACUCUCACUUAUGUUUGAGAACAUGAAAAUGGCUUCCUACAUUUACCACAGGGGGCAGUGAUUUUCAUUUUCACCUUUUUUGUUCACAAUAAGCAAGCAGAUGCAACAAUAGUGGCAGGAUGCACGGGAAGUGAGGCCCCACUGGACGUGAUAUGUUUAACCCUUUAAUACCUGGACAGUUUUUAAACAUGGUUGAAGAUGUGAAAUAUGUUACAUGAGGUUAUUCUUCACGCAAGAAACAUAUGUCUGUGUGAAAGGACUGUGUGGGUGGGGAUAUGAAACUGCUUUAGUAGGAUAGCCUGUACUGAGCACCUAAUCUAGCCACCCUUGUUCACUUAACCCUUUCAUGUACAACUGAACUCUACAGAUGACAACAAACAUUCUAGGAGCUAAUUGGUUCUCAUUAUGCUAAUUAGUUAGUCUAUUUAUUUUACAAAUUAAUCAAAUUAUGAUUUAAUCUAUCAGAAAUGUUGGCUUUGUUUAAUUUUUUCUAAAAACAUACAACUCCAUUAAGUGGAAUUGCCAACUUAGAACCGAAAUCUUAACAAAUCUGAAAAUGUCUUGAAUAAUUAUUGAGCAGUGAAAGGGUUAAUAACUAAAACAACUGUUCAUAAAUGUAAUUUAGCAUAUCAAAUAGCAAUAUAUAACACAAAAUCAUGUCGCAGUCUAGG